This 253-nucleotide ribosomal RNA is filed under the name uncultured bacterium. Its description in RNAcentral is "partial 16S ribosomal RNA". It matches the Rfam family "Bacterial small subunit ribosomal RNA", at positions 524 to 776 of the family's 1533-position model. The record is from RNAcentral.
UACGUAGGGAGCGAGCGUUGUCCGGAAUUACUGGGUGUAAAGGGUGCGUAGGCGGCCUUGCAAGUCAGGCGUGAGAACCAUGGGCUCAACCCGUGGACCGCGUUUGAAACUGUGAGGCUUGAGUGAAGUAGAGGUAGGCGGAAUUCCCGGUGUAGCGGUGAAAUGCGUAGAGAUCGGGAGGAACACCAGUGGCGAAGGCGGCCUACUGGGCUUUAACUGACGCUGAGGCACGAAAGCAUGGGUAGCAAACAGG